This 402-nucleotide ribosomal RNA is filed under the name bacterium. RNAcentral describes it as "partial 16S ribosomal RNA". It matches the Rfam family "Bacterial small subunit ribosomal RNA", at positions 355 to 776 of the family's 1533-position model. The record is from RNAcentral.
UGGGGAAUUUUGCACAAUGGGGGAAACCCUGAUGCAGCGACGCCGCGUGAUUUAGAAGGCCUUCGGGUUGUAAAAAUCUUUUCUAUGGGAAGAAAAUGACAGUACCAUAGGAAUAAGGACCGGCUAAUUACGUGCCAGCAGCCGCGGUAAUACGUAAGGUCCGAGCGUUGUCCGGAAUCAUUGGCCGUAAAGGGUACGUAGGCGGGUAAGCAAGUUAGAAGUGAAAUCCUAUAGCUCAACUAUAGUAAGCUUUUAAAACUGCUCAUCUUGAGGUAUGGAAGGGAAAGUGGAAUUCCUAGUGUAGCGGUGAAAUGCGCAGAUAUUAGGAGGAAUACCGGUGGCGAAGGCGACUUUCUGGCCAUAACCUGACGCUGAGGUACGAAAGCGUGGGUAGCAAACAGG